UACGUAGGUGGCAAGCGUUGUCCGGAUUUAUUGGGCGUAAAGCGCGCGCAGGCGGUUUUUUAAGUUUGAUGUGAAAGCCCACGGCCCAACCGUGGAGGGGCAUUGGAAACUGGGGAACUUGAGUGCAGUAGAGGAGAGCGGAAUUCCACGUGUAGCGGUGAAAUGCGUAGAGAUGUGGAGGAACACCAGUGGCGAAGGCGGCUCUCUGGUCUGUAACUGACGCUGAGGCGCGAAAGCGUGGGGAGCAAACAGG
Molecule: ribosomal RNA, 253 nt
Filed under: uncultured bacterium
Lineage: Bacteria
Description: partial 16S ribosomal RNA
Rfam family: Bacterial small subunit ribosomal RNA
Source: RNAcentral